AGCCUGAGGAUUGUCCUUGUGUGUCCCAUGGGGAACUUCUUUUAACUGCCCUGCUCAGGACACAGCUCAUCUGUCAACCCUGAGCCUGUCCAUCUCAUUCCACUGUAGUGAAAUAAAGUGAGAGGAGACGUUGUCGGAGUGUUUCAGAAAGUUAAUAUUGUUGUGCACGAGCCUGUCGUUUUGUAAAGCGUCAAACUCCCAGGCACCACGCGGUUUUCUCAGCAGAAGGGCUCGCAGACACAAAGCCAAGUUUAUAACCAGAGAGAAAUGUUUAAACAACAAUCUAGAGAAACCAAGAUUCUUAGCCCUGGAAUAAAAGAUCCCCAGCGUGUGGAGAGGAGCACAUGAAAUAUAGAAAUAUGGGAAGGAAAUGGAGAAGGAUUGUGGCAUUUGGACUUAGACUGGAAUUGAAACACCAGCU
This is a long non-coding RNA of Ursus maritimus (polar bear), 421 nucleotides long. NCBI's taxonomy places the organism in Eukaryota, Metazoa, Chordata, Mammalia, Carnivora, Ursidae. The record is from Ensembl.